This is a small nuclear RNA of Oryctolagus cuniculus (rabbit), 167 nucleotides long. Its record names the gene U2. It matches the Rfam family "U2 spliceosomal RNA". Rfam says of the family: U2 is a small nuclear RNA (snRNA) component of the spliceosome (involved in pre-mRNA splicing). Complementary binding between U2 snRNA (in an area lying towards the 5' end but 3' to hairpin I) and the branchpoint sequence (BPS) of the intron results the bulging out of an unpaired adenosine, on the BPS, which initiates a nucleophilic attack at the intronic 5' splice site, thus starting the first of two transesterification reactions that mediate splicing. NCBI's taxonomy places the organism in Eukaryota, Metazoa, Chordata, Mammalia, Lagomorpha, Leporidae. The record is from Ensembl.
AUUGCUUGUCGGCCUUUUGGCUAAGAUCAAGUGUAGUAUCUGUUCUUAUCAGUUUAACACAGAAACAGCUUUACAAAAUUAGAAGCACUUCUUUGAAUUACUAAAUUUACAAACACUGAUAUUUGGGAAACACUAAUAUUCAAAUGUUAAAAGAUCAGGAAAUAUUU